Molecule: long non-coding RNA, 561 nt
Filed under: Pan troglodytes (chimpanzee)
Lineage: Eukaryota; Metazoa; Chordata; Mammalia; Primates; Hominidae
Description: long non-coding RNA NONPTRT000515
Source: RNAcentral
GAUGUGGUGGGGGAGUGGUGAGAGAGAAAAAGGAGUUAAACAAGGACGGAGUCUCCAUCAGCUGAGACAGGGAAGACAAUAGGUGUGGUAGAGGCAGUAUGUGGGACAUGCUACAUUUGAGACAUCUGUUAAACAUCUAAGCAGAAACCUACACAGGAGUCCACUAUCACCUCAAACUCAGCCUCUGUGACAAUGUGAUCAGCAGUUUCACCCCAUCCUCCUCUGCUCAAUUUCCUGCCUUUGUCAAGGCUUCAGUCUCCUCCUUGGCGCUCAGUGUCCCAUCCUGCCCAUCCUGCUGAAAUGCAUCUAAGAAGACUGGGGAGGGCAAUGGCCACAGAGGGGUGGCAGAAGGCCAUCCUGUCCACUCCCCACCGGCAGGCACAAUGACCACUCCCAGCUCCUCCAGAUUCCCCAAAGCAGCCACUAUCCCCACCUUGUCUGCAAGUUCCCAUGUCCUCCACACACCCCUCUGCUGCACAUUCUUCCCAACCUAACUACAAAGAACUGAAUGGAAUCAGUUUUGUUUCCAUACACCAGGAAUAAAUAAAAUGGUUACUCCAG